Molecule: non-coding RNA, 623 nt
Organism: Danio rerio (zebrafish)
Lineage: Eukaryota; Metazoa; Chordata; Actinopteri; Cypriniformes; Danionidae
Source: Ensembl
GUGAUCCUUCCCUUGACAGUAUAUAAAAUUCACAAGAUUGAUCCGAUUUGCAAUUAAAAUUGGUUUUGGUGGUUUUGGGAAGUGUUACAUUUCACACAUAACCCAUCAUUGAUUGUGUUAUGAAUGUUGUUUUUUAUAACAUUUCAUUACAUGUUCUGGAAAAACUCUUUAAGAAGCAGGAUUGCCAGUAAUUCUUUUCUGUGACAAGGCAGGCGUGUUUGCACAAGGGGGGUACACGAAGAUAUUUUGAAGAACCGUUUGUGAGAAGAACAAGCCAAAAUGUCCACUGACAUACAUGCUGAGCUAAUGGAAAAAAUACCGUCCACAUGGAGGUAAGCUGUGAAAUCCUAUCUGGUGAAUGAAAACAGCUGCUGAAACACAGACAGUCAUGUAAUGUCCUCCACAGAGUCCAGACCUGAAUAUUAUAGAUGCUGUUUGAGAUCACCUGGACAGAAAAAGAAAGAUACGACAACCUAAACCUAAAGAAGCACUCGGGGAAGUGCUAAAAGAAGCCUGAUAAUACACAUUAUUUCAGAAAAUGAAAGGACGAUAAGAACAAAACAGUUUAGUUGUGCGUGGUACCAAGGAAAGAGACAUUAAACAUAGACUUUUUCUUAAAGAGG